AACCUUAUGGACCUGCGGGCGUAUACCUGCGGAGGGAUCAUUACCGAGUUUACAACUCCCAAACCCCUGUGAACAUACCACUUGUUGCCUCGGCGGAUCAGCCCGCUCCCGGUAAAACGGGACGGCCCGCCAGAGGACCCCUAAACUCUGUUUCUAUAUGUAACUUCUGAGUAAAACCAUAAAUAAAUCAAAACUUUCAACAACGGAUCU
Molecule: unclassified non-coding RNA, 210 nt
Filed under: soil metagenome
Description: partial contains 5.8S ribosomal RNA, internal transcribed spacer 2, and large subunit ribosomal RNA
Source: RNAcentral